GAGUUUGUAGCUCAGUUGGUAGAGUGCCAGGUUGUGGCUCUGGAGGUCAUGGGUUCGAUCCCCAUCAAACUCCCA
RNAcentral lists this transfer RNA (75 nucleotides) under Prevotella sp. 885. Its description in RNAcentral is "tRNA-His". It matches the Rfam family "tRNA". From Rfam's summary of the family: Transfer RNA (tRNA) molecules are approximately 80 nucleotides in length. Their secondary structure includes four short double-helical elements and three loops (D, anti-codon, and T loops). The record is from RNAcentral. Lineage: Bacteria; Pseudomonadati; Bacteroidota; Bacteroidia; Bacteroidales; Prevotellaceae.